AGGAGUUUGAUCCUUGGCUCAGAAUCAACGCUGGCGGCGCGCUUAACACAUGCAAGUCGAACGAGAAAGCCCGCAAGGGUGAGUACAGUGGCGUACGGGUGAGUAACACGUGGAUGAUCUACCUUUUAGUGGGGAAUACCGAUGGGAAACCGUCGACAAUACCGCAUAAUCUCGAGAGAGGAAAGCAGCAAUGCGCUGAAAGAGGAGUCCGCGGCUGAUUAGCUAGUUGGUGAGGUAAUGGCUCACCAAGGCAUAGAUCAGUAGCCGGCCUGAGAGGGCACACGGCCACACUGGCACUGAAACACGGGCCAGACUCCUACGGGAGGCAGCAGUGGGGAAUCUUGCACAAUGGGGGCAACCCUGAUGCAGCGACGCCGCGUGAGCGAUGAAGCCCUUCGGGGUGUAAAGCUCUUUCGGUAGGGAAGAUAAUGACGGUACCUACAGAAGCAGCUGCGGCUAACUACGUGCCAGCAGCCGCGGUAAUACGUAGGCAGCAAGCGUUGUUCGGAGUUACCGGGCGUAAAGGGUGUGUAGGCGGUUGGAUAAGAGUGGUGUGAAAUCUCCCGGCUUAACUGGGAGGGUGCGCUACAGACUGUCUGACUAGAGUGUGGGAUGGGUAAGUGGAAUUCCUGGUGUACGGGAAAUGCGUAGAUAUAA
Molecule: ribosomal RNA, 657 nt
Filed under: uncultured bacterium
Lineage: Bacteria
Description: bacterial SSU rRNA
Rfam family: Bacterial small subunit ribosomal RNA
Source: RNAcentral